Molecule: ribosomal RNA, 315 nt
Filed under: uncultured bacterium
Lineage: Bacteria
Description: bacterial SSU rRNA
Rfam family: Bacterial small subunit ribosomal RNA
Source: RNAcentral
GAUGAACGCUAGCUACAGGCCUAACACAUGCAAGUCGAGGGGCAGCGGGGUUGAAGCUUGCUCCAACUGCCGGCGACCGGCGCACGGGUGAGUAACACGUAUCCAACCUUCCGUUUACUCAGGGAUAGCCUUUCGAAAGAAAGAUUAAUACCUGAUAGUAUGGUGAGAUUGCAUGAUAUCACCAUUAAAGAUUUAUCGGUAAACGAUGGGGAUGCGUUCCAUUAGCUUGUUGGCGGGGUAACGGCCCACCAAGGCAACGAUGGAUAGGGGUUCUGAGAGGAAGGUCCCCCACAUUGGAACUGAGACACGGUCCAA